GCCGAAGUAGCUCAGUUGGUAGAGCAACGGUAUCGUAAACCGUGGGUCAGGAGUUCAAAUCUCCUCUUCGGCU
RNAcentral lists this transfer RNA (73 nucleotides) under Candidatus Buchananbacteria bacterium. RNAcentral's name for it is "tRNA-Thr". It matches the Rfam family "tRNA". From Rfam's summary of the family: Transfer RNA (tRNA) molecules are approximately 80 nucleotides in length. Their secondary structure includes four short double-helical elements and three loops (D, anti-codon, and T loops). The record is from RNAcentral. Lineage: Bacteria; Candidatus Buchananiibacteriota.